This 148-nucleotide non-coding RNA is filed under the name Pan troglodytes (chimpanzee). Lineage: Eukaryota; Metazoa; Chordata; Mammalia; Primates; Hominidae. The record is from Rfam by way of RNAcentral.
GCCGGGCGUGGUGGUGUGUGCCUGUAGUCCUAGUUACUCAGGAGGCUGAGGCAGGAGAAUCGCUUGAACCUGGGAGGCAGAGGUUGCAGUGAGCCGAGAUUGUGCCACUGUACUCUAGCCUGGGUGACAGAGUGAGACCCUGUCUCAA